AAAUUACAAUGCCAAUAAAAUGUUGCAGUCGUGGAAUGUCACGGGGAAUAGGAAUUUGUGUUACUAAAGCAUUUUCUUACUCUCUAGUCUCCAAAUAAAACCUUUUUUGUUGGACUUGAUAACAUGAACACAACGCUGAUGCAGAUGGAAGCAACAAUCAUAUGGACAAUCAUGGCUAGUCCACUAAAAAUGAAUCUGUGGAAUGAUGAGGAAAUUACAACUAUACCAAUAAAAAAGAACAUGUUAUUACUAAUUGGAUACAUUUUUAUAGUAAAAGGUUGUAACAGGAAGAAAUGAACGUAUGACACUAAUAGACAAACUAAAUUUGUUCUGUUUGUUGCACACCAUAGAGCCAUUUACAUAGUUGGCUAUGAGUGCACUGAAGGCCAAGUUUUGUUGUGUUUUAGGAUAUGUUCAAUGCUCUACUUCCAACCAUAAUUGAUGCAUGAUCCCUGAUAGAAAGGACAACAAAAGAAUUGCUAAAAAAAUGAAGUAAACAAGGAACAAAUUCAAGAUAAGAAUGCUUAUGAUUACUGGUUUCAAAAUAUAGAACACAAAAUGGAAUUUCAGAGAAGGAAACCUAAUGGCACAAAAAAUUGACCAUACGUAAUAUGGUUAUCUAUAUUUUCCCAAGCAAAUAAACUUGUCCAAAAGCACAAAAAAUUUAACAAGAGAAACUAUCAGUACGACUGGUAGUAGUUGAAAAUAGAAGAAAAUGCCUCAUACAAGAUGGUCAAUGUCUGUACCACAAUAACAAACAUAUGAGAGAAUACAAAUUAGUAGAAACUAAAGUUCAACUAAAAAUUUUCAAUAAUCAAACCAUACCUGAAUCCACAAUCAAGUAAUUCGUCAUCCUCCUCCACUCAACAUUGUCAUUUAUUUCUUUUUUAGAUGAUUACUUGAAUCUGAAAUUAACAGUUCCCAAAGUCUCUUGUUUCUACAUCCACAAAGUUUCCUGUUUCUACAUGUAUGAUUUUUUGCAAACGUAGGACUUUUAUAGAAAAAAUAACUUAAGGAAAUCAAACAUCAGAACAUGAUAAUUUAAGGACUAAGAGGAGUGCAGAGAUAACCCCAUAAAGAGAAUUAAAAUGAAUAUAAAAAUGAAAACCACAUACCAGUGGAGAGCAGAUGAUAGAUGGAGCGAGCGUGGAUGAUCCAACAUGUGACGUUGGGGGGAAACAUAAAAUCAACCCUUUUCCUCAUCUGCUUUUUUGUAUGGAUUUAGAAAGAAACAUCGACCGAAAUUGAUGGUGGAAGAAGGCGUGGUAGUGAUCAAUGAAACAGAAAAAACGACAUCAAUAUAGAAAAACGGAAUCGCUAUUAGAAAGAGUGAGGAGGAAAAAGAGGGAAGCGGUGGUGGGAAACGGAGUCUCAAACACGGUUGGUGACGAAUCGGUGUUGAAUGAGAGUGGAACAGACGCCUCUUACAAAGAAGGGUUAUGCGUCGGUCUGAAUGCAGGUAACGUGGCGUCCUUGUAACCUUGUGAAUUUGCUCUAGACGGCACGAGAAUGGAAGGGCUUUU
Molecule: long non-coding RNA, 1523 nt
Filed under: Lactuca sativa (garden lettuce)
Lineage: Eukaryota; Viridiplantae; Streptophyta; Magnoliopsida; Asterales; Asteraceae
Description: long non-coding RNA (LSAT_LNC006100)
Source: RNAcentral